GUAGAAAGCAGCGCCUCCUGCUUGGAUGGAUGGCUUUGACUGGACUUUCUCGUGGGGGCGGGAGGGGGGAGGAAGGGAUGGAUGGGAGUGGUUAGGAACAGUAAAGUUGUGUGUGUGUGUGUGUGUGUGUGUGCGCGCGCGCGCGCGUGUGUGUGUGUGUGUGUGUGGUGUGUGUGUGUGUGUGAUAGAGAGAGAGAGAGAGAGAGAGAGAGAGAGAGAGAGAGAGAGACAGACAGACAGACAGAGACAGAGAGAGACAGACAGACAGACACGGGGGGGAGGGGGAGGGCUCUUUUUGGCUCCCUUUGCAUCUUGGUUUCUUCUAAGCUUCUGAGUAUCUCAAACUAGCCGAGAUCACUGGCCAUCUAGACUCCUUGCAGAGUCUGAGGAAAUUUGGCCUCGUUUUUCUGGGGCUGGGGAAUGAGCUCCGGAGGUCAAUAAAGCCCUCCAAAAAUGAUGAAUGAUUGAGCACCUGUGAUGAUAAUAGUGAUUACCAGAGCAAUUAAACAGUUUGAUUAAAUGAGCCAUCAUAACAAUGAUGUCUGCGGGAAAUCGGCCCUCACAUAUAAAGACAGUGUGGAGGGGCUGGCAGAGGCGCUGAGAGCGCGCCGGGAGAAGGGAUGCGGCCCGCGCGGAUUUGGCUCCAUGAGCCAAAGCAGGGGCGGCGGGCUCAGGGAGUUUCUGGGGGCAGUCUAGCCUAGGGUUUCGGUCUCUCUUUCUGCCUGGCUUCAAGCCUAAGACAACCAACUCGUCUGGAACCCGAGGGGCCAUAGGGUCCUUUCCUCCUCCUCUCCUCUUCCCCUCCUUUUUUUCCUCCCUAGAAGAACUCCAAGAUUACAAAUACCCACUUCAUUUGAUGCUGAGUUACUCGUCGACACAUAAGAAAAGGUUCAAAGCAAUAGACCUGUCCAAUUUGGGAAUAAAACUGUCAAAACUAUGUGCUACAAGUGUGCCAUCACGCUUAUAAAUUGUCUCAGGUUAAACAUGAGAGCUGGAGAGAUGACUCAGUGGGGGAAGCACUUGAUUUGAAAGCACCAAGACCUGAGUUCAGACUCCCAGAACCCAGAUAAAGCUUGACACACUAUCACAUCUAUAAUCCCAGUGUUCCUAUGGCAAGAAGACAGGUGGGAAUGGGGCAAUUCCCAGCAACUCUUUGGCCAACUAGCCUCCUGUGACAGUGCUAGAGACCCUUUCUCAAAAAAGCUGCAAGGUUUUGCAAGAAGAAGCUGCUUGUUCUUUAGGCAGGUGGCUCCCUGUGCUGCAGUUGAGGAGCUUCAAUCAUCACUGACAAGCCCACAAUCCACAAAGUCCUGGGUGUCUCCUCCAGCUAUCGCUGUCUGAAGCUUUUCAAAGGUUUUUGUAGUCCUCUUAGGUCGCUUUUCAUGCAUUCCACAAUGUAAAUGGAAAAGUUCAUCCACACUGACAUGAAGAGCUCCAUUUUGCUGGAACUUUUUGCUUUUUCACCAGAAAUAAUCCUUUCUUUCUUUUGUGUAAGGCUCAGGCUCAUCUACAAAUUCUUGGACUCUUUCUUAGAGAUGCAUAGCCCAGCAAAAUUGAAGCCUCUCCCCCUGAAAUAGACAUCAACCAACAAGUGUGUGCUGCUUUUAAAACCAAGGACAGGUUGUUGGAAAGAAUGAACUUUCUAAGUGGCAAUGUAGAAACAGUAAGCUGGGACCAAGAAGAGUCACUCAUCAACCACUCCUGUUGUUUUUAGGUAGACUUACUAUGCUUUAAAAAUUGUAUUAUUUCAAUAAAACAAUCUACAAAUAAAUACAAAACAAAAGGGCACGUGUAGGGACACAUUGAAAGGAAGCAUGCAUACCAAAAAGCUAAGUGCAAAUUGGAUUUGAAUAUUCAUGAGUCACAAAUCAUUGACAGUUUGAAACAAUGCAAAACAGCUUUAUAAAUGAGGUUAAGGCAAGGGACACCAAAGGAAUGCAUCAUUAAAUCAAUAGAAGUUUGUGUAUGUACUUGUAAAUUGUGGUUACAGUGUUUGUGACAUGGGAGAAAAAAUACUGUGGAUCUGAUGAAGAGGGUUGACACAUAAAUAUUCCCUCUGCAUGUUAUAUUUUUGCAGUUCAUCAUGUGCUUGGAACUGAGCCAGGUAGAGAGUGGUUGGACAUUGUACUUCCUGCUCAAGAAAGAGUUUCCUUGUGCAGACAGUGAGUUUCAGACCUCUGCCUGGACAGUCUUUAUUUGCCCUGCUAAAAAGUAUUAAACAUACAACCAUUCACACAGUUGAUUCCUAAAGCAGAGGUUAGCACGUAGCAUACAUAACUUUGGAGAAUGACAGCCUUAAAUCAGUUCGUGGGAGCUCCCACCAGAGAGCACGGGAUCUUAGAGAAUGCUCUAAUGCUUAGAAGGGCACAGAGGGGAAAAAUAGCUUUGUGAAGAGUUUGUAAGAAUCUCUUGAUAACAAAGCAAGAACAUUCGCUAACAAUGAGAAAUCAUACAGUGAAAUAAUUGAAGUUGCAAAAUGUUGGCAACCCAGCAGUUCUAUUGGAAGUGUUUUUGUUUUGUUCAGCAGUGACUCUUCACUUGUAGGACCCCGACUGUGGCUGUAGGGAACACGUAGCCUGUGGUUGGAGUCAUAUUUGAGACAGUAGGACUUACAAACCUAAGCCAUCUUAGGGCUUGUGUUAACAUAGGGACACUUCUAAGUUAAGCAGCUUCUCUUAGAAGCUUACUUUGGGUGAUCUGUAAGUUAUGAAGCAUUUCUCUAAGAUGCUGCUCAGCAAAUCUCUUUCUCAUAUCCCAUCUCCGGUUCUUGGAUGAUGGCUGAAGUGGGUGCCACAGCAUGAAAAUCAGGGUGCACAUGGUACCAAUUUGGAAGAAGCUGAAGAAUGUGGUCGGUUUAGAAAAUUCUUCUAUAUCUUUUUGCUGGGCCAUCCUUUAAGGCAGACAUUCAAAUUCAGGAUCUACAAUUCAGCUGAGACAUGACUCAUGAGAAAGAGAUGUCAGCAUUUCUCCAGUUCACUGCCAUGUAGACAAAGAAGCUAACGUGACCCAUGUGUUAACCAUAAUCAAGGACAGCCAUAAGAAAACAAUACAAACAAUAACUUAAUUUUUAAUGAAUGAUUUUUUUUUUUUGUGACCGGGCAAGGUUUCAUAUAUACCUACACUGGACUCAAAUGAAUUUUCUUGUGGCUAAGGAGGUGAUUCAGUGGGUAACAGUGCUUGUAUGUAACCAUGAG
Molecule: long non-coding RNA, 3194 nt
Filed under: Cricetulus griseus (Chinese hamster)
Lineage: Eukaryota; Metazoa; Chordata; Mammalia; Rodentia; Cricetidae
Description: lncRNA (ENSCGRG00015041873.1)
Source: RNAcentral